Molecule: ribosomal RNA, 506 nt
Filed under: uncultured bacterium
Lineage: Bacteria
Description: bacterial SSU rRNA
Rfam family: Bacterial small subunit ribosomal RNA
Source: RNAcentral
CGCAAGCCUGAUCCAGCAAUGCCGCGUGAGUGGAGAAGGCCUUAGGGUUGUAAACUCCUUUUGCGAGGGAAGAAGAUCUGACGGUACCUCGCGAAUAAGCCACGGCUAACUACGUGCCAGCAGCCGCGGUAAUACGUAGGUGGCGAGCGUUGUCCGGAUUUACUGGGCGUAAAGCGCGCGCAGGCGGGCUGAUUAGUCCGGGGUGAAAUCUCACGGCUCAACCGUGAGUGGUCCCCGGAUACUGUCAGUCUUGAGGUGUCUAGAGGAGAGCGGAAUUCCCGGUGUAGUGGUGGAAUGCGUAGAUAUCGGGAAGAACACCAGUGGCGAAAGCGGCUCUCUGGGGACCACCUGACGCUGAGGCGCGAAAGCGUGGGGAGCGAACCGGAUUAGAUACCCGGGUAGUCCACGCCGUAAACGAUGAGCACUAGCUGUCGGGGGUAUCGACCCCCUCGGUAGCGCAGCUAACGCGAUAAGUGCUCCACCUGGGGACUACGGCCGCAAGGCUA